RNAcentral lists this long non-coding RNA (23175 nucleotides) under Salvia miltiorrhiza (redroot sage). RNAcentral describes it as "long non-coding RNA (SMIL_LNC007842)". Lineage: Eukaryota; Viridiplantae; Streptophyta; Magnoliopsida; Lamiales; Lamiaceae. The record is from RNAcentral.
CAAUAAUAACAAAACUUUAGCCCAAUAAUAGCAUAUGAAUAAGAGGCCCAAGCUCUCCUUUCUUUACACCCUCAAUCGGGCCCCUCUCUCUAACCUCACAAGCCAUUCUUCUCUCACAAAUCCAUCGGCCAUUCCUCCAGAAUCCGGUCUUGUUCCGGUCGUUCCAGCCGGCGCCGCACUCACUCCGGCGUCCCUCUCUCCUCACUCAGCCGUUCCAUCACUCUCCCUCACUCUCUCAAUCUCACGCCUCUCGUCCUCCUCUGCCUCGAGACUUCCGCCACCGCCGUCGCCACUGGACCGACCUGGUUCGUGUGUUGCCGUUUUGGGGAAGCUGCUGCUAUCGUUUCGAUCCACCACCGGCGCUGUGCAGUCGGCGAGUAGCGCUGUCGUUGACGACUAGGGGCGUCGCUGCCGGCGUCUGCUUGAUUCGUCGCACCGUUGCCGCUGUUCUUGAGGUCCAGCGGCCAGCAGUGCAGCCCAACGUUCUUCUCUUCUAAAGUUAAGUCUAUUUCAUUCUACUAUUGUAUCUUGAUUCAUUUGCUUAUGAGGUGAAAGUUUAAUACCAGGGUUUGUGGUUUUCCUAAUUCCGUUUAUAAGCCGUGGGGAUUUUGCUACUGUGCUAAAUGAAUAACAACGUUGCUAUAUGCUCGUCAAUGAGCCCUGUGUUGGAUUAUCCUUUCUUAUUAAACUGUGGAGCCUAUUUUCAUGUGUAUACUGAUCAUGCUUGGAUGGAGAAUAUGCAUUAUAGGACAUAGCAUAUUGAGCUCAGUAAAUACCUCGAAUGUGAUCGAAUUGAUUGCUUGUUGUUGAAUCGAAUGAAGUGUGAAAUAACUGAAAUGAAUUUGAAGGUGCUGUUGCUUUAAUAAAUGCAGGUGAAUAAAGGAGGAAUGGACGGAAUUUAGCCAAGACUUACCUAUCGAAGCUUGGCAGUAGGAAUCAUACAUGAUAAAAUAGGUAAAUAAUUGAUAUCUUAAAAAUAAUGCUUACAAAUAAAAUACUCAGAAUUAUUUUGUGUGAAUGUUGAAGAAUGAAAAAUUAUGAGUAAUUUUAGAUUGCAGUACAAGAGGCCCACCCAAACCCUGCGGCCCAGUUUGAUAUUUAACCCAAUCCGACAUCCCAGAACAACCCUCAAAUCAAAUCCCAAAUUCCAACCGAUACAAUGAUUCAGGCGGCGGCGAUGCGGCGGACCUCCUUCUUUUCCAUGAGUUCUCACCUGCAACAGUGCAGGGGCAUCCGAGUCAAGGUUUACAACAGCAAUUUAGAUCAGGCUUUGACCUUAAUGCAGCGGAAGAUGCAGUCCAGCGGCAUCGAGCGAAUGAUAAAGCAGGAACAGCUUGCCCACGUCAAAAAUUCCGAGAAGCGCGUUUUGGCCAAAAAGAAUUUGGAGCGCAGGCUUCGCGCGCAGGAUCUUGCCCGCAAGCUCAAGAUGAUUCUCGUUCAGAAAGUCAGGUAAAGUUUGUUUGAAGUUUGCUGCUUUAAUUUAUUUCACUUAUAUGUAUUUUUGUGUAUGUAUGUAUAUGAUUAUCUUUGAUAGUUGCUCGUAUCAAGCGGGUUACUAAUUGCGAUCUAUAUGAAAUAGAUUGUUUUGUUGAUUGUUGGGAUGUACGGUGAUGUUUGUGUUAGUGUUUUGGUUCUUUGCAUUGAUUUGAAAGUGAAGGGAAAUUGAUUGAAUUGCGAUUUGUGCUAACAAAUUAUUGAGUCUUGAAUUUAUAUGAGAAAAUUAUAGCGUUUGAGUACAAUGACCUGUCUUUAAGACUGAUACUGACUGAGAGUUGAAAUGUUAGCGUAUGAUAUGUUGAGGAAAUGGUUAAUUGAUAUCUUUGUUGCUGUGGAUAAAAAACGAAAAGUUUCACGUAUUAAAGGGAUUCCAUGUGUCUGAUUGUGUUUGGCUCUGUUGCUUCGUUUUGAAUAGAACACCCUGUAUUAAGUUAUUUGUUAUUGGAAUCAUGUGGCUCGAGUUUGUUGAGUUGCUUGAAGUCCGUCCCAUCUUCAGGGAAUUUGCUUCAAAGUAGGAAGUGGGCAUAUCUUACUUUUAGAUCAUGUAAUAGAGAAGGGGCACCGGACACUAUGGAUGAACACAAAUACUGAGCAAAUUAUUUGUGAAUGAUGAGUGUCCUACAACCAUUGGAUGAUGAACAUUCUCCUCUGUUAAGCAAUUAGGGGGCUACAGUCAUCCAGAUAUUUUUCAUAUCUUGUGUAUGUAACUAAACGUUUUCUUCACUCGGAUACAGAGAGAGUAUGGUUAGUCCUUUCUUUUUUCUACUAUUGUUUGAUCAUACAUGUCUAAAUGUGCUGAAUGUUGAACUUCCUAAUUGGCUGGACUAAAGGAGGCUAUGCCUUUGUAAAUCAGCAAAAUGAGAACAUUUUGAAGCAAAUGAUUUACUUUUUUUUUGUUGGUAAGAUUANUUAUUAAUUAACUAUAUUAUUUAAAUAACAUUGUUUUAAAAGUAUAAUUCCUAAUAAGUUUACCUGACAGUAUGCAUCCCAAACUUCAUCCGGUGCCGUGAACUUUUUAGCGGUGUUGUGAUAGCCAAAAACCAGAGUUAAACUUCAUGAGUGUUGAAUAAGCAGUCCAACGGGUCUUAAACCAUUUGAUACGGCUUAGGUAGUGGUUAUAAGUCUUAUUACACCCAAGUCUUUUAUUAAAAACUGGUAGUAUUCUUUCUUCAACAGUUGCUUUGCUAAAUAUACCACUAUUAUCACGCCAUUCCCGUUUUGCAGACUCAACCAAAUUCUAACAAACAUCGCUUUGUUCCUUAGUCCACGGUUCAUAGACUGCCCCUUUUUCGUGUCUUGUUGUUGAGAAUCUCCCAUGAUUGAAUUACUAGACACAAAAUAUAUAUACGUAUAUAGUACUAUAACAAUGAAUAAAGAAAGUAUAAAUAUAAAUAACAAAAACUGUAAGCAACUCACAUGCAAUAGAAAAAUAGAAUAUAGCUGCUAACAAAUUAUAAAGAUACAAGGUUUAUGCAAUAGAAAAAUUGAAUACCAAAAUAGUAUAAAGAUACAAGAUUUAUGAGAGAAUACCUUGGUAAUAGUUAAUGCAGACCCUAAAAUUCUGUUUUUUCUCGAGUCUGGAUCGUGAAUUUGGUAGUGAGGAAGAAACUGACGGCUAUACGAGUAUUUAUAAAGUAUUAGCUGGGCCCAGCGACCGCUAGGGCCCAACGAGCGUUGGAUCAGCAGGUGAUUUGGGCCCAACGAGCGCUGCAUGCCAACGAUCGCUGGCUUCUCCGAGCGCUGAAGCCCAGCGCCCCGCUGCAUGCCAGCGACCGCUGGAUUCGUCAGGCUCGAGCGCUGGGUCCAGCGGCCGCUGGCUUCUUUGCCGCGGGGCGCUGGAACCCAGCGAGCGCGUGAUUUUGGCAGAUUUGUGAAUUCUCGUGGUGCGUCGUCGGAUUUGUUGAUGCCUAUUUUUGAACGAAAUCAAUGAAAGUCAUUCAUUCUUUAAAUUUCAUAGAUUAACGAAUACACCCAGAUUUUAAAAGACUUUUAAAAUGUCUUGAACUAAUACACCCAGAUUUUAAAAGACUUUUAAAAGUCUUGAACUAAUACACCCAGAUUUUAAAAGACUUUUAAAAGUCUUGAACUAAUACACCCGGAUUUUAAAAGUCUGCAGAAAUCAUUAAAAAUCCGGAAUGAAUACCACCCCCCUUUAGUUUGACUCUAAAGUUUUUAAGGGGGGAUUUUACAUUCACUGCCGACUUAAUUUGUAUGUUUAAACUUAGGGGGUGUAUUCGUUCAGGAUUUUAAUAGAUUUUUAAAAUCCAGAGAUUUUUAAAAAUCUACAGAUUUCACACAGAUUUUUCAUGUAUUUUGGAAUUCUAAAUAGAUUUUGAAUGGAUUUUGUAGUGAUUUUAACAAGAAUUUGACGUGAUUUUUACGGAUUUGAAAUCGACCAUCCCAGCGCUCGUUGGAGUAAUUGAGCGCUGGGGCAUCUCCCAGCGAUCGCUGGGUUCCAGCGACCGCUGGCUUAGUGAAAUAUAAAUAUCCAGCGAUCGCUGGGUUUCACAGAAUAAAGCUUAGAAGCUAGCUAGCUAAAGUCCACUCCAACAACUCAUUCAAAUUACGUUCCAUCAAAAAAAUUUAAAGCUGAUUACUUUCACCAAUUUUUGCCAAAAAAAUAAAAAAAAAUCAAUCUUUAUUUGCAUGCAAUCAAACGUUGCUUCUCCCAGAACCUUCCACCAGCUGCUGGCAAGCAAGCAAAACAUUUUUUGCCAAUUUACGGUACAAUUCUUGUUCCAAAUUUCGAGAAUUUGUUUUUGGGUAUCUAAUCCUCGAGCUUUCUUUCAAUGGUUUAUUUACGUUUCUGUUAAACUUUAAUUGUAGGUGAAUUUGAUGUUAAUUUAUGAAGCUUAAGAUUUAUUGUCGCCGUUCGUAGAGAAAUUUGAUUAUAUCUUUUUCCGUUAGAGAUAAAGAAAAUGGAGGCGAGCAAUAGUAGUGUGCUAGUGAAUUCGAACUUAGAGCCUAGGGAUGAUCUUGAAUUUGAUACACACGAAGCAACAUAUGCAUAUUAUAAAGAAUACGCGAAAUCUGUAGGGUUUGGUACAGCCAAAUUGAGGGCCCAGCGACCGCUGAGUGCCAGCGAUCGCUGGCUUCUUCGAACCGCGACCGCCGGAACCCAUCCGGCGCUGAAAUAUGAAAUCUUUUGAAUUCUCGUGGUCAGAGGUCGGAUUUGUUCAUGUGUAUUUUUUGAAUGAAAUCAAUGAAAAUCAGUCCAUUUUAAAAUCCAUAGAUUUUUAAUACUCUAGAUUUUCAUAGAUUUGUAAAAAUACUGAAACGAAUGCCUCUGAAUUUUUAUAGAUUUUAAAAGUACUUGAACGAAUACCUCUAGAUUUUCAUAGACUUUAAAAGUCUUGAACGAAUACACCCAGAUUUUAAAAGUAUGCAGAAAUCUAUUAAAAUCCUGAACGAAUACACCCCCCUUAGUUUGACUCAAAUUUUUAAGGGGGAGAUUUUACAUUCACUGCCGUUUUAGUUUAAGAGGAUGCUUGUUUUCAUGAUUGAUAAAGAUGUAUGAUUAAGUAUUUUUAUUUUGUUAUUAUAAGAUAUUUAAGUUCAUUCUUUCAAUAUGAUAUGAAUGGAGAAAAAUUAACUCACAUGAUAGAAAUUAUCAAGAAUUUUGUGAUAAUUCAAAGUUUCAAUUUAUUUUAGUAAAUAGUGGAUUGGUCUUGUAAUUUUAGGGUUAUUUGUGUGAAAAUAUCCUUUUUUGUUGGGGGAGGGGGGACGGAGUGUGGAAAUAUACUAAUUUUCAAUAUUUUCUACAUCCUUCGUACCACUGUUAUUGUCCCAAUUAUAUUUUGAGUUGUCUCAUUUUUAUUAUCUUAUUUUUAUAGAAAAUACUCCCUUCGUCUUGCAACGCUUGAGCAUAUUCAUUUUCGAGUUGUCCUGCGAAGUUGAGCACUUUUUUAUAUGACAAAAGUUUUUCCCUUCAUUCAUUUUUUUACUUUUUCACCUAUCACACUUAACACACAAAAUAUUAACUCUUUAAAAACCGUGUCGAAAAGAAAUUGCUCAAAUUUGGCGGGACGGAGGAAGUAAUAAUUAACUCUUCAAAAGGUGUGAGUCUUAUCAUUUUUAAUUAAUUUACACCUUCUUCUUAAUUCUCAUACUCAAAAGUUAUGGGACAAUAAUGGUGGGACGGAACGAGUAAUUUUUUAAAUAUUUUGAACUUCAAAAGGACCCACUAAAGUUGAUGUGUCAGAUGAUUGAGUAUGUUGUAAAUAUUAAGUGUGAAUGAUGUUUAAAAUAUGAAAAGUAAUUUCCAAAAAAUGAAACAUACAAUUUUUAUAAACAGAUAAAAAUAAACUCGACAGAGCUGACAAUCACUCACCAGAGUAGAUUUCCAUUGUCAGAGUUGACAAACACUCGUCAGAGUAGAUUUCCAUCUCCAGAGCUGACAAGACCGCCAGAGCUUACAAGACCGACAGAGCUGGCAAUCACUCACAUACGUCACCAGAGCUGUCAAUCACUCGCAAGGCCGCCAGAGCUGCCUACGUCUCUAGAGCUGGCAAUCACGCGCAAGGUCGCCAGUGCUGACAAUCACUCGCAAGGUCUCCAGAGUUGGUAAUCACUCGCAAGGCCGCUAGAGCUGCCUACGUUUCCAGAGCUGGCAAUCACGCGCAAAGGUUGCCAGCGCUGAAAAUCACUCGCAAGGUCGCCAGAGCUGGUAAUCAUUCGCAAGGUCGCCAACACUGCUCCAGAGCUGACAUGACAAUCACUCGCCAGCGCUGCCGAGAAUCGCCCGUUGCACCUGUUUACCCGAGGCCCCUUUACAGUUGUUCACUCCCUUUCCAUCGUGCUCCAGCCUUUCAUUCCCUUUCUACCAGUUAUCCAACGAAUCAUCUCAUUGGCAGAAUCCUUUUUCCUUCUAUAUAAGAGAGCUCCUCUCCAUUAUCUAAACGGAAGGUCACACUCUCCAGUUAUUCUGCUGAACGACCUGUUCCUCUAGUUUUAAUCUGUUGAAGUAUUGUAGUGAAUUUACUUAAGCCUUGUUGUUUUUCAGGUAUUAUGUUCUGCAAGUAUUUAUUUUAGAGAUUGAUUUCAAUUGUAUUGGUAUUUAAUUUGUUUCCUUUUAUUUGAAGUUGAUUUAUGUUUAUUGCACUUUGUUAUAUUUAGUUUUAUUUAUGUUAUUCUAAAUCGCUAAAUUUAGUUAGUAGAUUUAAUGCUCAGUAUUUUCAAUUCGUUAUUUAAUUAGAACUAGUGUAUCUCCCGCACGAUGUGCGGUGAUUGUAGUUUAAGUUUUUGUAUGAUGCGCGCACGUAUAUUUUAUAAUUAUUAAUUUAAAUUAAUAAAAUUAAAAUUUGAUACAAAAUUAUUCUCUGUAAAGUGAUCCAAUUUUCUAAUAUAAUCAUGUAAUUUAUAUAAAACGAUACUACGUUCGUCCACCAAAAAUAUACAACAAUUACUCGAUUUAAUGUCCACUAUGUCACACCCCAAUUCUUGAAACAAUAACUAUAACUGGGGUACAACUAAUCAUCUAAAUGAACAAGGGAAAAUCCUUGUGAAAAUCCGAAUAAAAGGGAUAACGAACGGGCUUAGCCCAUUUGGAUGAAGAAAGACAGGUAUUCAAGUGAUACAAAUCAAUCAACAAAUAUAACAACUUCAGGAUCACAAGUUUAGUGUCAUGCUUCAGAUAACCAACAAUCACUGAUCAAAAUAUUUGAGAGUUAAUAGUCUAGGUUCAACAAAAGAUAUUGUUUUUAGAAUCACAACAUAAUAGGUCUUAAGUUAAGGAACAAAAGACAGAUACUGGCUAGUUCUGCAGCGGAAAUUAAAAUAAGGAGUUGAACUCUAGCCUCAGCUCUGCCCCGUCAUCACCAGCCAUUAACCUGAAAACAUUUGAAAAUAAUUUUGGGCUAAGUACUAAUGUACUUAGUGGGCUGCAACUUUUAAAGCAUUUCAUAAUCUGAAGAACAGUUUAUCCAAUCUUACUGACAUGACAUAGAAGGUUUUAAAGAGAAAUAACUUCUAUGCAUGUUAAAACAUUUUCAUAUAUAUAUACUUAAUUAUUUUGCGCGCAUUUGCACACUCCAUUCUGUUACUCGCUGUGAUCCCGGACCUCUAGCCACCGACGGAUCUCUGUCUCCCGCUGACUUGAACUGAGGGCGUAACCCAGUCAAGUAUAAUAAACCUCGGAAAUUAAUCCAGACAGGCCUAUCAUUUCUAUGCUCCGGAACACAUCCCGUCGAGCACCCUUAUAACGCCUCUGGUUAGUGCCCGAUGGAGAUCAACCCACCGAGUCAGCUAACAAGUGUACACAAUUCUCAAACAACGUGUUAGGUCAUAAGAGAACCUCAAUUGAUUAACUGUACGAGCCUUAAACAUGGUAGAGUGCACAAAAAUAUUUUAUUGGAUAAACAGUUUAUAUUACACGAAUAUUUAAGCUCAAUAGCUAAAUCAUACAUUUGAAAAAUAAGCCCACCUGUCUAGGCAAAGCCUGUCGUUUAACUUUAUUUCUGAAUCGGAAUAGCAGUGCUAAUCCUCCUGAUGCUCAAAGCCUACAAGAAAUCUAUUCUCAAUAGGUCUCCUUGAAUUCUAAUCUUAAGUCAUGGUGUAGUGCUUAAUAUUCUAUGAUUCACUUAGCCGGGUUUUCAAAAUUUAAUGAAUAAAUAAUUGAAAACAUUUCUCUUGAGUUAAGAACACCAACAAUAUUCUUACUCAUCUUUCUUUAAUAAUUGGAAUUAUAAUAAAACCAAUUAAAUCAUAAAUAUUCUUAUUGCAAAAUAUAAUGCAAAUCAUGUCAUGCUUAGCAUAUAAUAAGUAAUUACUUAAAAUAUGCACAUAAUAAUAAUUUAAUAUUAUUAUAAAAAUUUAAAAUAAUUAAUCAAACUUAAUAAGUCUAAUUAAUUAAAUAGUGUAGUCCAUUUUAAAAUAAAGAAACUGCACAGCCCAAUUAAAUAAAUUAGUAAAGGCCCAACAGAUUUAAAAAUUAAAAGCCCAACUGAAACAAAAAUAAAUAAAAUCUCGGCCCAAAAACUCAUAAAAAUCGGCCCAUGACUCGAGCCCACUCUAAUUAAAAUCGGCCCAACCUCAAAAUUUAAAACAAAGGCCCAACCUCAAGCCCAAACUCUCAAACUAAGCCCUAAACUACACUCAAGCCCACUCUCAAGCCCACUCUAACCAAGCCCAACUCUCACCAAGCCCAAAGCCCAACCCUACACUCUCUUAUCUCCCUCAAAUCGCACAACACUCAUACACACAAGCAGCUGCGCAGCAGCACUCUUCUCUCCCUCUCUCGGCUCCCUCAAAUUUCCGCCGCCACGGCUCCUCCUCCGGCGACUGGCCAAGACCCGACUACCUCUCUCUUUCUCCAACCGUGGCCGGGCAGCAACGCCGUGCCCUGCCUCCCUCUUCACGCUAAACCCACCACCGCGGUUCUACCUCCGGCGAUAGCAGCCCCAGCCGCCACCGCUCCUCCCUCUCUUGACCGAUCCUCCCUCUGGAACUCCGGCGAUAGCAGCGACUUAACGCCACCACCACCGGCGUCCUAGCCCCCAACUCUCUCUCGAUCUCCGGCCCGACAGCAGCGGGCAAAACCGCCGUGCCGCGGCCUCCCUCUGUUCUCACCAGCGUCCUCUUCCUCUUACACGGCCGGAUGACCGGCAGCGAGCACGCCGCCAUCCCGGCACCGCUCAACUCAACCCAACACACACACACACGGUUAAAGCUUGAAAAUAAAAUCUUUGUCUUUCUUUUCUUUUCAAUAAAUCAUGCUUUCAUGUAUGUAUAUGUAAUAAUGAAAGUCAUACUAUUGAAAUGCUUGAAUGUGUUGCUGUGUAUAUUGGUUUACUGAAAUGGCACAAAUGAAUUGCUUGAUUUAAACUGUAAAAGCUAAUGAGACGAAGGGGUUCAAGAGAGAACCUUUAGGAACUUAGGAUGUGAAAUGGGUGUUGUUUGAUUCUGGAUUUGCUUGGUUGCUGGAAUCGAGCUGCUGAUAUUCCUUAAAUGGAGCUAUAGGAAAAGAUAGAAUUUGCAGAUAUUGUUUCCAUCAAUUUGUAAGAUGAACCAAGCAAAAAUGGAAGAAACUCACGUUUAAAGCUCACCUAUGAAAUUAUCUUUUGCUCCUGAAUUCUGCUACUUGCGAGAGAGAGAGAUUGUGAAAGAUUUUGUGAAAUAAUGUAGGAAUAAAUUAAUUUGAGCAUAAGAUAUGGCAGACAAGCUUUAGUGUGGGUGGAAAGAGAGAUUGUGAAAGAUUUUGGAGAUUAUUUGCUGUCGGAUUAGUAGGAGAAGGGGGUAUGGUGGGAGGAAAGAAAGUGGAAAAUUUGAUAAGAUAUGAUUUAAGAUAUGAUUUGAUUGUGACAUGUGUGAAAAAAUAAAAAAAUAAUUAUGAUAAAGGGUGGCUAUUAGGAACAUAAAAUACCGGGACUGUAAUAAUACUUCAGGGUUCGUUAAAUAAAUAGCUCGUGAAAAUACUUAAAUGCUAAAUUAAAUAAAUAUGCAAUGCAUAUAAAUUCAAUAACUAAAUUUACAAAUGUUUUUGUAAAUCAUUUUUGUUGGAAUUAAAAAUAAAUUCAUUUUCUUUAUAUCCGGCGUGAAUCAUCUUACUUCUAAAUUCGAAAAAUUAUUCUAAAUUUAACUCGGAGAAACGGGGUAUUACAAAGAAUAUACAACUUUCUUUUUUAGGACAUGACUAUCCUUUUUCUAACCACAAUUACUCAUUUUAGAUUACUUACACUCAAUUUAACCACAACUACUCGUUUUUAAAUGAUGUAAGACCCUUUAUUCACUAAAAGCAUGCAUCUACCAUUAUUUUAUUAAAUAAUUCAUCAUUACCCUUUAUUUUUAACAUUUAAUUUCUCAUAAUUAAUUUUGUUGACUUUUAUUAAUUUAUAAUUAUUUUACUAUUGAUUUAAACAAAUGAGUAAUCAAUUCAACAAAAGUAGAUCCACAUAGUAUUAUCUUGAAAACAUUCUUUUGUAAUGUAAUAACUUUAUACUUUCCUUCUUGACACAUAUUAACAUAUAUUAUCUUUUUUUAUAAUAGUAUUAAUAACAUUGUAUUCUAUUAACAACUUUUCAAUGUAAAAUAAAUAGGAGUACACAAUAUAGAAAAUCAGAAUGUUAUAUAAAUAACAAAAUAACAAAGAAAAGAAAAACAUUAAAAAGAUGUUUAAGUGCGUCAGUAGUCUUAACUUUAAAAUAAAAACAAUAAUAAUAUAUAAAAAAUUUAAACGAUCAUAACAUGCUCAUUUAAAUUGAAUUAUGAUCUUUUAUUUGAGAUAUAUAAUUAUAUAUUACAUAUUUUAUCUUGAAAAAAAUAAUACAAAAAUAGAAGAAAAAAGAUGGACAAUGAAGAUAAAAAUAUAUAAUAAAUUGAAACUUAAUCGUCCACAAGUAACAAAAUAUUUUUUUUUUCUUUGAGAACUUGCGUCUUUUAAGUAUUACUUUAUUAAUAGCUAUUUUUACAAUAUUAAUUAUAUUUUAAAAUAAACUAUUUAUUCUUCUAUUUUUAUAUAGGGUUUACAUUUUUAUUAUUAUUAUAAUAGGAAGUAUUUUUAAAUUAUGUAACAUUUAUAACUGCUUCCAAAUUCAAAAUUAUAUUAAUAGUUAAACAAAGUAAUAUAUAUAUAUAUAGAAGGAAAAUAUUCAAAAUAAAAAUUAAUAAUUAAGUGGUGUGUUUCGUAUAUACAAUUUAAUAUUUUAUAUUCAAAUAGUACAACAUAGCAGUUAACAUUUAUAUGUUGUAAUUUAUAAUUAAUUUUGAUUUUCAUACAAUUAACUGGAUAAAAACUAUUUCAAAAAAUUACGUAUAAUCUAUAGGCGUACUUCAAAUUUAAUAAUUAAAUAACAAUAUUGUUAAACAUUAAAAUACGUAACUAACUCAAUAAGAAGAGUAUUUAGUGUUGAAUUAGAAUAUUUUGUUUAGAGAGAUAACGAUCCAUGCACAGUAAAAAGAUUUAAUUAUUUAAUAUUUAUAUAUUUAUUAAUUUGUUUAUCUUUUUGAGAGAAGAAAUCAUUUAAUAUUGUUAACAUUCUUAAUUAUUUCAUGUUGUUUAGAGUCACUUAUUUCUAAACAUACGUGUGGUGUUUAGAAUGAGACCAACACAUGCUUAUGUUUAGAAGGAAAAACAAAUAUAGAAGAAAAUACAAAUAUAGCAGUUUUUUAGGAGAGAAAAUUUCGGCAGUUUUUGUAACUAAUUUAGGAGAGAAAAUUCCAAUUAUAUCCUUGCAAUUGAAUUAAAUUACAUUUACUUUGCUUUUUAUAUAUAUAAAGAUUUAGAAUAAUGCUAGACGCACACAAUACAUGCACACAUAAUACUCUUAAAAUUUUAUUACCUAAAUUAAAUUAUAAUCAUGACUAAAUUACCCUUAAUUUAUAUGAGAAAGUUUUUACAGAUUUUAUUUCUUUUUUCAACUUUGAUAAUUUUGGAAAGUUAUUGAUUUAUUUCCUAAAAUAUGGCCACCUUUUUUUUUGUAAAUGAUAUGUAACAAUAUUGUUAAUUUUUUCAAAUUGGAAAGUUUUUAAAGAUUUAUUUUUUAUAUUUAUCUAUAAAGAUUAAUCAUUAGAAAUAAACCUUCCUUAAUUUAAGCUUUGUAAAUAAACGCCCUAGAAGUAAACGCACUAGAUAUAUGGUCACCUUUUUUUUUUCUUUUUUUUUGGACUCUAACUAGUUUUUUUUCUUUAUCUUUUUUUGAAAUAUGGCCACUUUUGUUUGCAAAUGAUAUGUAUUAAUAUUAUUAUUUUUUCUUUAUUUUAUUUAAUAUUAUCAUUCGGACUCUAACUAUUAAUUUUUUCUUUCUUUUUUUAUUUUAUUUUUAAAUAUGACCACUUUUUUUAAAAUGAUACUGUAUAAAUAUUAUUAAUUCUUUCUUUAUUUUAUUUAACAUACAAUUUUAUACGGUCAGUUUAUUUUGCCAUCUGUUUUUUUUUUUAAAUUCUCCACUUUUUUUUGGAAAAUGAUAUAGUAUGUAUCAAUAUUAUUAAUUUUUUCUUUAUUUUAUUUGACAUACAAUUUUAUAUGGUCACUUUAUUUUGUCAUCUAACUAUUAUUAUUUAUAUUUAUAUUUAUAUUUAUAUUUAUGUUUAUAUUUAUAUUUAUAUUUAUAUUUUAAAUAUGGUCACUUUGUUUUGGAAAUGAUAUGUAAUAAUAUAAUGUAAUAUCUAAUAAUAUAGGACAUUCCUUAAUUGCUUUUUCAAGAAUAUCUUAUAAUUUAAUUUUAUGAAAAUAAUUGAUCAAUGUGCUCCACAUAUGACAUUACUUUCAUAGAUAUAAUCAUUUAUUUUUUUCACACACACACACACACAUAUAUAUAUAUAUAUAUAUAUUGUAAUGCCCCUCUCUUUUAAUUACAUAUUAGAAUAAAUAGUUGCAUUAAUUACGAUAUUUCUUUUGUAUAUUUAAUUAUUACUUGAGAUUAUUAUAGUGAUUCCGAUAUUUAAUUAUUAUUUCUUUUAAUUACAUAUUAGAAUUAUUCUUUAUUUAUAUUAGAUAAAUAAAUGAAUGGGAUUUCCUACAUCCUCAAAGGUACAUGAAGUACUUCGAUAAAGGAAGAACGAUUGUAUAUGAGUUAGAUACAAUCGUUUAAGGAAAUAUGGGUAGUUAGAGAAAGGAGUGAAUAACGAUUCACUGCAUUUGUUGUUAUCUUUUCUAUUAUUCACUUGAACACAUGUUUUCGUGUUAUUAAAGGUUCAAAUAAACAAAAGCGCCUGAGUAACCUGUCGCGCUAAGGAAAGAGAAUCAUUGUCUUAAGUAGCAAAACACUGCAACUAGGUGGGCAUUACUUUCAUACAUAUCAAAUGAGUUUAAAUGUUACGUUCAAGCAAGUUAUUUCAUGACAGAAUCUUUGAGUUGAAGUUAUUUCAAGUUUUGUCUUGCCAAAAAAUGUUUCAAUUUCAGUAUGAUAUCUAUCUGAUGUGGCUUUGCCAAUUAUCAUGCAAUCGAAUUCGGGUCUUGAGCAGUUGAUAGCUUUCCUGCCUUGACUAGUGUACACGAGGGACCGUGAGUCAUCUAGCGGGUUGGCCAGUCCGGUGUCCGUUGAGAGGUGGCCACAUCCCCGGCACUCAGCUUCAGACAUGAUAGAUCAAGAGAACUUAGACUGCAGUCCACAUCCCCGGCACUCAGCUUCAGACAUGAUAGAUCAAGAGAACUUAGACUGCAGUCGAACUUUAAGAAUCACAAAUGAAUUUAGUAAGCUUAGGCCUUUUAGCGAAAACUCUCUUGCUGUACUGUUAUGAUGGCAUGACAAUUUACGUUCUUUCUUUUAAAGCAUGCAUGUUUAUUUUAUCUAGGCAUACGUGUCCACUGAGUACCUUUGUACUCAACCCUGCAUAUAUUUCUAAAUGUGCAGGUUGAGUCGUGGACGGUGGUGAUGAAGUGACGGAUGGAAACCUCCUUUUGUCUCAAGUUAUAUGUAUUGAUUAACUCUUGAGUACAUGUCUUCAUACAUGUAAUCAGAACCCCUAUUCCGCUGCGUACUCAUGUUAUUUUGGCUAAGUCGGAGCUAUCCGAACUUAUUAGUUGAAUGAGUCAUUGUGACUAAAUCUUUGUUAUAUUAUGAAUGUUUCCUUCAUCAUCAAUGAUCCUUCGUUGUUUACUUCCCCUUUCUAUCCCCGCUCCUAAUCUCCCUCCCCUGGUCAUGAUUUCCCAGUUUAAUUAUCCUUAAUUAAGUCCGGUCGUGACAUAUAUAUAUAUAUAUAUAUUGAGUUGACUAAUUUAAUAUAAUAUAUUAUCCUAUAGUAUAAUUUCAUUGAGUAGUCGAUCAAAAUGUUGAACGUAUGACAUUAUUUUCAUAAUUUUAGUAAUUUUUUAAAUAAAUUAUUUAUAUUAUUCUGAGUUCACUAAUUUAUAUAUUAUAAUAUAUUUUCUUAUAGUAUAUUUGUACUGAAUUGUCGAUCCAUGUGCUCAACGCAUGACGACAUUAUUCCAAAACAAUUAUAGCCAUUUACUUUUAUUUUCUAAUUUUAAUUAUAUGUCCCUAAUUUGCUACUAUAUAUGAUUUUUCGUGAACCUAUACCUUUAUAAAAUAAUCAAAUAAAGUAGCUACCGUGUCUUAUCAUUCAAACCAUUAAAAUAAUUCCUUCAUAUUUUAUAGUACUAUUUUUGUUUUAUUUCAAGUUCCCUUUAUGAAAAAAUAGAAGAAAGUAGCUAAUGUCAUCUAUAAUUCCUUCUUUUUUAUACACCCUCCGUCCAUGAAAGAACUUUCUAGGAGUGAGUGACACGGGUUUUAAGAAAAAAUAUAGUUGAGAGUAUUGAGAGUGAAUAAAAGGUAGUUGAAUGUAUUGGGAGUGGUGAAAAUGUGUUAUAAUUAAUAUUGAGAGUUGUGAAAAGUGAAAAGUGAAAAGUAAGAGUAAUUAUAAGUGGUGGGGUAUAGUCCAAAAAUACGUAGGAAGUUUUUUUGUGGACGUCCCAAAAGGGAAAGAUAAGAAGUUCCACGCAUGCAUGACAUUACUUUUAUAAUUAUAGUCAUUCAUUUUUUAUAUAUUUUUUAUUUUGACUUGACUAAUUUAAUAUAAUAUAUUAUCCUAUAGUAUAAUUUCAUUGAGUAGUCAAUCAAAAUGUUCAACGUAUGACAUUGUUUUCAUAAUUUUAGUACUAAUUUUUUAUACAAAUUAUAUUUAUUAUUUUGAAUUCACUAAUUUAUUAUUGAGUUGUCGAUGUGCUCAACGCAUGACGACAUUAUUCCAAACCAAUUAUAGCAAUUUACUUUUAUUUUUAAUUUUUAUUUUGAUGUCCCUAAUUUGCUAUGAUUUUUUCGUUAACCUAUACCUUUAUGAAAUAAUCAAAUAAAGUAGUUAUCGUGUGUUAUCAUUUCAAUCAUUAAAAUAAUUCCUUCAUAUUUUAUAUUUUUUCAUUUCAAGCUCCCAUUAUGAAAUAUUCAAAGAAAGUAGCUAAUGUCAUUUAUCAUUCGAACCAUUAUAAUAAUUCCAUCCUAUUUUAUAUUUUUUAUUUCUAGUUCACUAAGUAUAAUAUAAUGUCCUACAAUAUAAUUUUAUUGAGCAAUCAAUCGAUGUGCUCAACGUAUGACAUUAUUUUCACAAUGUUAAUCAUUUAUUAUUUCGAGUUCACUAAUUUAUUAUAAUAUAUUUUCUUAAAGUAUAUUUGUAUUGAGUUGUCGAUCCAUGUGCUCAACGCGUGACGACAUUAUUUCAAAAUAAUUAAGGUCAUUUACUUUUAUUUUCUAAUUUUUAUUUAUAUGUCCCUAAUUUGCUAUGAUUUUUUUGCUAACCUAUUCCUUUGUAAAAUAAUCAAAUAAAGUAGCUACCGUGUAUUAUCAUUGGCACCAUUAAAAUAAUUCUUUCAUAUUUAUUUUUUUAUUUUAACUUCACUAAAUUUAUUAAUAAUAUAAUGUCCUAUUGUAUAAUAUCAUUGAGCAAUUGAUCUAUGUGCUCAACAUAUGAUAUUAUUUUCACAAACUUAGUCAUUUAUUAUUAUUAUUAUUAUUAUUAUUAUUAUUAUUAUUAUUAUUAUUAUUAUUAUUAUUAUUAUUAUUAUUAUUAUUAUUAUUAUUAUUAUUAUGAGUUUACUUAUUUUAUUAUGUAAUUAAGUGUUGAUAGUAAAUUUUUUUAUAAAAAAAAUAAUUGGGGAAGGUUGGUUUGAACUGUAGAACCUACUAUUUACAAGCAAGGUCUUUACCGUUUGGAUAUCCUAAAAAUAACAUCACACAUUGACUGCAUUGACCACAUUUUUUGAGUCUUUCAUAAGAGUGUAAUUGAUAACACUCAUGUUUUCCAUGGUUUUAGUGUUCAUAUGAUGUCAAUUUUAUAGGAAACUGAGUGUUGGAUGAUUGUUUUAUGCUUAAUUUGUUUUAUCUUUUGAAACAUGUUUCUUACUCGAACUUUGAAGGAAAUUUCAGGUUUAUUGAGUUCGAAUUUGGAAACCUUACCUGAAAUAGAAGUUGUAGAUCGUCUCGAUACGAGUUCGUGAGCGCAAACGGAUUAUAAAUCGGAGUUCGGACGAGAAAGUUAUGACCAAAACAAGAAAGUCGCGCGCAGCAGCAAAACAGCGGCGACCCCGCGGCGACCGGGCGGCGACCGCCGCCCGAAGAAGGAUUUUUGGGAAGGAGCCGGCGACCAGCCGGCGACCGCCGGGCAGCCCGCCGAGUUUUCGGCGCCAGCGGCGCCCGCGCGGUGAGCGCCGUCUGAUCGCCGCCAGACCGCCGCACCUCCGUAUUUUUGCGUUUUUUAGGCGUUUUUCAAGUCCUUUUCGAGCUCAAACUCUGUAUUUUACCCUGGUACUAUAAAUAGGUCUUCUUUUGACCUAUUUUGGGUUCCUUUUUGAGUUCCCAACUUUUAUUUUUCAAUUUCAUAGCUUUAGAAUUUAUUGCUUUCCAGUUUUUACUGCUUGGAUUGGAUUUCCACAAGAUUGAAGAUUCAAGCUGCUACAUUCGUUCUUAUUCAGUUUUUAUAUAAUUCAGUUUUUCCAAUUGCUUUCUUCUUAAUUAUGUUUAUGUUUUAUUUCAGCAUGUCUGGCUAGUUCCCUUUAGCUGAUUCUAGGGUUUGUAAAUAGUUGAUUGAAUUUAUGUGAUUUAUUUGUUAAUACCUUUGUGCCUUCCAGUUUAUGAUUCAUAAUUCCUGGUGCUUAAUUUCUUGUGAAUUAUCUGAUCAAUAGUUUGCAUGUUUAGCUAUUCGGUUUGAGACCUAGCGGAGAUAACUGUUUAGCGGAUUCAGGAAUGUAUGAUAUGAUUUUAACCUUGAGACCUAGCGGAGAUAGGUGAAUCAUAGGGAGCUAUUCUUAGGAGCUAUUGGGAGUUAGUAGAUUUUCUUGAGACCUAACGGAGAUAGAUAAUUUACUAAUCUACGAUCGUUGCUGCUCUAGCGAGAGUGAUUGAUUAAUUAAGUGAUCUCUCAUCAUAACUGGAUUAAACUGGUACAUAGGAUUAAUAGAUUUAUUAUGUGGAUUUAGUUAAUGAAUUUACUACCCUAGGAUCAGUUGUCUUUUAAUAUUCGAAUUUUCCUACGUGUUUUUAAUUAUUGUUAUUUGCGUUUUAGUUUAAGUUAAUUAAACCUUCCUACUUUCGUUUACCUGCAUACUGUGAGAGUCUGUUUAGGAAAUAGAUAUAGUAAUUUCGUUUUACAGUCUCUGUGGAUACGAUACUCUGCUUGCUAUUUCUGUGCUACAAUUACACCGUGUUAGUUGCGGUAUUUUUGUUGCUAAUAAAAUAGUGAUCAACUUUUUGGCGCCGUUGCCGGGGACUGUUUAGAUUUUGCUUUAAUAUUUCCGAUAGGACUUUAUAGUACUGCUAGGUUUUAUUUGUUUUUAUUUUUCUUUUCUAACUUUUAAAAGUUGUGUUUCUGUAGGUUGCAUAUGAACACACGAUCUCACGGAAAUCCUCUCUUUGAGUUUGACCCUGAAAUCAAUAAGACCUUGCGCAACCUAAAGAAGCAGAACGAUCAAGUUGAGACAGAAACGAUGGCUACUCCAGAGCAAAUCCAAAUUCGAGCUCUGCAAGAGCAGUUGAAGAAGCUGCUUGAUGCACAGGAGACAAGAGAGGCUCAGAAACAACCAGCCAUCAAUGAAGCGUUCAUACCACAGUAUGUGUACCAGGAGCCCCCACGAGUGAACGUUAACAACUUUGAGCUGAAAACGGGUUUGAUCACGAUGGUCCAACAGAGCCAAUAUGGUGGACAAGCGAUUGAAGACCCUAAUGCGCACCUGGCGCAUUUCCUGGAGCUGUGUAGCACGGUGAAGAUGAAUGGUGUCCCCGACGACAUUAUCCGUCUUCGUCUUUUUCCCUUCUCACUGCGGGAUAAGGCGAAGUCGUGGUAUCAUACGCUGCAGCUGGGAGAGAAUAUCGUGUGGGAGGAUUUGGCUCAUGCAUUCCUACGCAAGUUUCAUCCGCCUGGUCUUACGUUGAAACUGAAGAUGGACAUCGUGCAGUUUCAGCAGUACGAUGGAGAAAAGUUAGCGGAGACUUGGGAGAGGUAUCAGGAGAAGCUUAGAAAGUGCCCAAGCCAUGGUUUUGAUGAAGGCACGCUCGUGACAAUGUUCUACAAUGCCUGCGGAGAGCGUACAAGGAUGCACAUGGAUACAGCCGCAGGUGGCUCCCUACUCUAGAAAAGCAGUUUUGACGCAUGGAGCAUUAUUGAUAGUAUGGCUUCUACGAGCUACCAAUGGCCAUCGGAGCGAGUACAAUUGAAGAAGAUUGCAGCUGCGUCAAGUUCUGAUCCUAUGGCAGCAAUGGUUACUCAACAGGCAGCGAUGGCUACACAGCUGGCAGAGCUGACUACAAAAAUUGGUGAGUUGAAUGUUGGACGUCAUGAGCAAGCUGUGAUAGACCCGUCAAGCAUGGAAGAUGUCAAUUUUGUGAAUGGCAGAAACUAUGGGAAUUUCCAGCGAGGACAGCCAGGAAUGUAUGGCAGAGGUCCACAAUUUCAGCAGGGUCAGCAGCAGUUCCAGCCAGGAGCACGCCCGCAUCCUAACCCUCUUACGGCAAUCCAAACAAUGCUUUGCAGCCUCCACCUGGAUUUUCUGUGUCUAGCGGAGGAGUUAUAAAUGAGCCGAAGAAGGUAUCAAUGGAGGAUAUGAUGCAUCAGAUGUUAAUGAAGAUGACUGGGAUGGAGACAACUGUUAAUUCAAGGAUGACUAAUUUGGAGUCUCAAGUGGGAAAUAUUGGGAAUAAUUUUUCAGCACUGUCCAAGCAAGUGCAGAUUUUGGAGACUCAAGUUGGUCAGAUGGCCAACCAAGCAGCUGCGCAGCACACACCAAGAAAGUUUCCUAGCAACACUCAGUUCAAUCCGAAGAGCCAACAUCAACAGCCUCAGCAAAAUCAGCAAUGUCAUUCCAUACGGGUGGUUGAUAAUUCAGUUGAGGAUGAAGAGCAGCGGGAUCAUACAGAGCAGCGGGACGGCAAGAAUGGAAAGGAAAAAAAUGUAGAGAUUAUGGAGGAGGAUGACCUGGAGACGAUUGUGUGCGAUUCGCCGCCUACUUCUAAGGUAUCGUCGAACACCUCUGCUGUUAAGAAGCCUAUUCCUACUCCUACGUUUCCCAGGCCAGAGUACAAGCCUGUAGCACCCUUCCCGAAUAGCCUGGCAAAGCCGAAGAUGGAUGAGAAGUUUUUGGAGACAUUUAAGAAGUUGGCUGUGAAUAUUCCUUCCGUGGAGAUCUUGAGAAACAAGCCAAAUGAGGUGCAAAUUGUGAAGGCUGUGAUGGAAAAGAAGAGAGCAUUCAAUGAAUUUGAGGAGGUGCUCGCAGUGAAGGAGUAUCAGUUGGCUCCAAAGAGAGAAGAUCCGGGCAGCUUCAAUAUUCCUGUGAAGAUUGGAAAGUCAUUGUUUGAGAAAGUGAUGUGUGACACCGGAGCAAGCAUAAAUGUCAUGCCUCUCAAAGUUUAUAGGAAGUUGAAGCUGGGGGAUUUGAAGCCAACCAACAAGACAAUUCAGCUUAUUGAUAAGUCUUGCUCUAAACCUCUAGGAGUUGCGGAAGAUGUGCUUGUGAAGGUGAGUGAUUUUUUCUUCCCAGUCGACUUUGUAGUGUUGGAUAUUCCGGAGGAUCCAAAGAUGCCUUUGCUGUUAGGAAGACCUUUCCUUGCCACAUGUGGAGCAAAGCUAGAUAUGCAAAGGGGGACGAUGACAUUGGGAGCCUAUGGGGAAACUGUGAUUUUCAAGAAACCUCCACCAAAGGAAGUUCCCCAGAAUGAAGUGAUAAAUUUGGCUGGCAGUUUUCUAGCAAAUUCGGCGAAUGAAGAGGUUGAGAAGAAUGAGCUGCCCAAGUAUGAAGCCAAGAAAAAAACUCCAAAACCAAAAGAAGUUCUGACUUUUGAGAUGUGUUUGUUUUUGGAGCAUGAUGGGGGGUCUUUGAAAACCCAUACCCCCAAGAAGAAGAAAGUGAAAUUCCGAAUUUUUCGGAACAAGAAUGAGAAGGGGGCAAUGCUUGUGGAGGAUGUCCGAGCCAAGAGAAGUGUUUUUGUGGAGAGGGCACCAAAGAGUAGAAAAGCUUUCCAAUGGUAUGCUAGAUAACUUAAUCUUUUAUUGAUGUCAUUAAUUGCAACAAGAGAUCAAUACGUAUUGAAGAAAUCAAAUGACUAAAAUGAAGAGUUUGGAGAAAUAAAAUAUGAGCAGUGUCCCCUUUAUAUGUUUUGGCCAAAGUAGUGAAUUACACCAACCAAAACCUUGGGUUGAAUCAAGAAACGUCCCAAAGUUUGAACAGAAAUAGGAGAUAACCGAACAACAAUUUGUAAAAUUAUAUUAUAGAUUUACAAAUGUAGAUCUAAUAUAAAAUUGAAGCAAUCAAACCAAAACAGAAAAUUAAUAAUACUCCUUCGAUUGCAAAUAUCAAGCAAUGAUUUUCAAAUCUAUUGCAAUACACGAAUUUAUAACCAUUUUCAUUCGUCUCUCUCAUCAAUUUUUUCAAUUUCAAGUAAUAAUUCAAAUACCACAUCUAUACAUCGAAUAUGAAUUACCUUGUCGGAAAGACACGAUUCUUUCCUAUGGCAUACCUCCAAUAUUAACUCAAUUGGCUUUCAUAUGACAUAUCUUCAAUAUUGAUUCAAUUGGUUAGAGACUCGUGCUGAUAACGUGUUGAAAGUAGAGAGAAGAGGAGAAGAAUAGAGAAUGACAUAAAGAGCGUGAAGAGAAUAGAUCUGCAGGAACGUAUUAUUGUGAGGACUAAAUGCCUCUAUGUUGGGAACUUAAUGAAAUAUUCUAAUCCUUGUUUUGAUGAUACCAAAACCAAUAGGUCUCGUUUGUAAUAGACUAGAAUUGUUUGAACUCAAGUGUUAGAGUUCUUUUUCUAGUUUAGUUGCUGUUAUGAAGAUUGAAGACUGAAGAACGAAGGACUGAAGACUAAAGACUGAAGUUGCCGACUGAAGCAUCAGCCAAAGAAUCAGUUUUUAACUGAUUACUUAAAUGCGAGCCAAGUGGAAUCAGCGGACUGAUACUAAAGUCAAGUAUCAGCUAAACAUUCUUCCUCGGACUGAACCUCCAACGUUCAAAAGAAGCCACACACUCCAGAAGUACAGCCGCAUUGAAUGCAGAGAUCUCAUGAUCGUCCUUUCUCUGCAGAUGUCAUUCCUCUUUGGUGAUUACCUUUUCAGAGAUGUCGCAUCUCCUGCUCUUCAACAUAUCCGUUCUCACUAAACAAGGGACCUCGAAGAUUGAAGCCUCAGCCCAAGUUCAAAUUACUCUCUAACGGAAGAAAUCUUGAAGACCUUCUCCGCCAACGGAUCUAUUCAAGACUUCUCCUAUAAAUAGCGCUCGAGGAUCACUUCAAUCUUCACCGAUUCAACGACAUAAGCUGAACCUCUGCCAAAAUUGUUUCUCAGCUAAAGCCCAGACUCUCCCAAGUUUGAAUCAAAGAAGAGAAUUCCAAAGUCAAAAAUCAGUCACUGCUGAUUACAUACAUUCUCUUAGACCUUAGGCAAGCCUUGUUUAUCCAAAGCCUAGGUCAAACUAACUCCAAAGAACUUGUUCUUUGAAGUUUAGUUGGCAAGUUUUCAAACCUCCCUUCAACCGACUGAAUCGAGUGUUUGUGUUGCUAAGGAGUUCAGAAAGGUGUUCUGUCUCCGUGAGAUCCUAGUGCCCAGUGCGUGCUAGGAGUGAGAAAUCCAACAAGGUGUGUUGAUGCUGAAGAUUGGAUCUUCGGUUGUUUCGGUUGUGUGCACUCGUAAGCACACGUUUAGGUUUGCAGUGCACCCGUAAGCACUUGCCCAGUGAAGUUGUUGGUCUGAUCAACCGACCGUGGAUGUAGGAAGUGUUUUCUGAACCAUGUAAAAAUCUCUGUGUUAUUUACAGCUUUCAGUAUUUACUUCUUACUUGUGCUCUUCCUUUCGUUAACUGAAAACUGAUUAAUAGCAAAGAGAAAUCUAAGACUAACAACGUGCUCAACUCACAGGCUAUUGCGAAACAAAAGUUUUCCACUGCGUGUGUUAUCAGUUUGACUGAUCUAUCCUCUGAUAGUCAGUAAGACUCAAGUCGUGGCAUUCCAAUAAUUAAAUUGAAAAGUUUAGUUGGAGUAAUUUAUGGGCUCAAGUAAUUAAAUAAUUUUAGGGCCCAGUUGAAUAAAGAGACAAUUAGUUGGGUUCAAUUAAAUAAUUUGAGGAAGGCCCAGCUAAAAUAAUACGACAAUCCAAAGAAUAAAAUGAGUUAUCUUAGGUUUAAAUUUAAACAAAACUCGGCCCAAUUACUAAUAACAACUGGGUUCAAAUUAAAUAAGAUCCGGUCUAAGUAUUUAAAACAAAAUCAGCCCGAGAAUUGUGAUUUAUCUGGCUUUAAAAUAUUUAAACUGGGCCCGACAAAAGAAAUAAAAACUUUACUGGGCUCAACAGAGAACCGGCCAAUUUGGAUAGAAUGAUAAAGUCUAAUUUAUAUAAAAUGCCUCAGCCCAAUUAAAAUAAAAGAGCCCAACUAAAUCAAAUAAAAAGGCCCAAAUUCAUACUUAAUAAUAAAAGCCAAAUAAUAACAAAACUUUAGCCCAAUAAUAGCAUAUGAAUAAGAGGCCCAAGCUCUCCUUUCUUUACACCCUCAAUCGGGCCCCUCUCUCUAACCUCACAAGCCAUUCUUCUCUCACAAAUCCAUCGGCCAUUCCUCCAGAAUCCGGUCUUGUUCCGGUCGUUCCAGCCGGCGCCGCACUCACUCCGGCGUCCCUCUCUCCUCACUCAGCCGUUCCAUCACUCUCCCUCACUCUCUCAAUCUCACGCCUCUCGUCCUCCUCUGCCUCGAGACUUCCGCCACCGCCGUCGCCACUGGACCGACCUGGUUCGUGUGUUGCCGUUUUGGGGAAGCUGCUGCUAUCGUUUCGAUUCACCA